This 391-nucleotide ribosomal RNA is filed under the name uncultured bacterium. RNAcentral's name for it is "bacterial SSU rRNA". It matches the Rfam family "Archaeal small subunit ribosomal RNA", at positions 339 to 727 of the family's 1478-position model. The record is from RNAcentral.
GCGCGAAACCUCUGCAAUGCGCGAAAGCGUGACAGGGGAACUCUGAGUGGCGGAGAACUAAGUUCUCCGUCUUUUGACAAGCUUAGACAGCUUGUAGAAUAAGUGCUGGGUAAGACCAGUGCCAGCCGCCGCGGUAAUACCGGCAGCACAAGUGGUAUCCACGAAUAUUGGGUCUAAAGAGUUCGUAGCUGGCCUGUUAAGUUCGCUGUGAAAUCUCGGUGCCUAACGCCGAGGAGUGCAGUGAAUACUGGCAGGCUUGAGAGUGGGGGAGGUGUGGAGUACUUACGGGGUAGGGGUAAAAUCCUGUAAUCCUGUAAGGACUCACAGUGGCGUAGGCGCCACACCAAAACACGUCUGACAGUGAGGAACGAAGGCUAGGAGAACAAAUCGG